AGGACGAACGCUGGCGGCGUGCUUAACACAUGCAAGUCGAACGAUGACGACCGAGCUUGCUCGGUCUGAUUAGUGGCGAACGGGUGAGUAACACGUGAGCAACCUGCCCUUCACUCUGGGAUAACCUCGGGAAAUCGGGGCUAAUACCGGAUAUGAGCUCCUGUCGCAUGGCGGGUGUUGGAAAGUUUUUCGGUGAAGGAUGGGCUCGCGGCCUAUCAGUUUGUUGGUGAGGUAGUGGCUCACCAAGGCGAUGACGGGUAGCCGGCCUGAGAGGGCGACCGGCCACACUGGGACUGAGACACGGCCCAGACUCCUACGGGAGGCAGCAGUGGGGAAUAUUGCACAAUGGGCGAAAGCCUGAUGCAGCGACGCCGCGUGAGGGAUGACGGCCUUCGGGUUGUAAACCUCUUUCAGCAGGGAAGAAGCGAAAGUGACGGUACCUGCAGAAGAAGCGCCGGCUAACUACGUGCCAGCAGCCGCGGUAAUACGUAGGGCGCAAGCGUUGUCCGGAAUUAUUGGGCGUAAAGAGCUUGUAGGUGGCUUGUCGCGUCUGCCGUGAAAACCCGAGGCUCAACCUCGGGCGUGCGGUGGGUACGGGCAGGCUAGAGUGUGGUAGGGGAGACUGGAACUCCUGGUGUAGCGGUGAAAUGCGCAGAUAUCAGGAAGAACACCGAUGGCGAAGGCAGGUCUCUGGGCCAUUACUGACACUGAGAAGCGAAAGCAUGGGGAGCGAACAGGAUUAGAUACCCUGGUAGUCCAUGCCGUAAACGUUGGGCACU
Molecule: ribosomal RNA, 779 nt
Filed under: Dermabacteraceae bacterium
Lineage: Bacteria; Bacillati; Actinomycetota; Actinomycetes; Micrococcales; Dermabacteraceae
Description: bacterial SSU rRNA
Rfam family: Bacterial small subunit ribosomal RNA
Source: RNAcentral